Molecule: ribosomal RNA, 870 nt
Filed under: uncultured bacterium
Lineage: Bacteria
Description: bacterial SSU rRNA
Rfam family: Bacterial small subunit ribosomal RNA
Source: RNAcentral
UGGAACUGCCAUUGAUACUGCCAUUCUUGAAUAUAGUUGAAGUGGGCGGAAUGUAACAUGUAGCGGUGAAAUGCAUAGAUAUGUUACAGAACACCAAUUGCGAAGGCAGCUCACUAAGCUAUUAUUGACGCUAAGGCACGAAGGCGUGGGUAGCGAACAGGAUUAGAUACCCUGGUAGUCCACGCCGUAAACGAUGAUUACUCGAUGUCGGCGAUAUACUGUCGGUGUCCAAGCGAAAGUGAUAAGUAAUCCACCUGGGGAGUACGAUCGCAAGGUUGAAACUCAAAGGAAUUGACGGGGGCCCGCACAAGCGGUGGAGCAUGUGGUUUAAUUCGAUGAUACGCGAGGAACCUUACCUGGGCUUAAAUGCAGUUUGACAGACUGGGAAACCAGUCCUUCUUCGGACAAAUUGCAAGGUGCUGCAUGGUUGUCGUCAGCUCGUGCUGUGAGGUGUCGGGUUAAGUCCCAUAACGAGCGCAACCCCUAUUCUUAGUUGCCAGCGGAUAAUGCCGGGGACUCUAAGAAAACUGCUCGCGCAAGCGGAGAGGAAGGUGGGGACGACGUCAAAUCAUCACGGCCCUUACGUCCAGGGCUACACACGUGCUACAAUGGUUGGUACAAAGGGCAGCUACCAGGUGACUGGACGCUAAUCCCUAAAGCCAAUCUCAGUUCGGAUUGGAGUCUGCAACUCGACCCCAUGAAGCUGGAAUCGCUAGUAAUCGCGCAUCAGCCAUGGCGCGGUGAAUACGUUCCCGGGCCUUGUACACACCGCCCGUCAAGCCAUGGAAGCUGGGGGUGCCUAAAGUCGGUAACCGUAAGGAGCCGCCUAGGGUAAAACUAGUAACUGGGGCUAAGUCGUAACAAGGUAAC